CAUAGCGUCUCCUCUUUGAAAGGGAGUCAGCUUUGGACGGACCUGAGUCCUGAGAAGGGGGUUCUGGACAGAAGGCUGGAGUGCAGACCAUCCGAGGAGGGCUCGGCCUCCACGGUGUAGAGGUAGACCCUUGUCAGUCUCUUUACCUCCCUCUGCAUAACAGCCCAACCACACAAGCAGCUUAACAAGUGCAUGGAAUGAAAUGGGCGAUGAAAGGAUACUCAGGAUGAAGCAAUCAGGAUCUUAUCUGAAGCUCAGAAAGUAACUGAAAUCCGGUGCUGCUCAAGGGCUUCCCGUGGGUAUCCCUAAAAUAAGAAACACUUCUUCCCUCUUCUCACACUCACACCAACACUUCUGACACCAAAUGUGC
Molecule: long non-coding RNA, 370 nt
Organism: Cervus elaphus (red deer)
Lineage: Eukaryota; Metazoa; Chordata; Mammalia; Artiodactyla; Cervidae
Exons: 3
Source: RefSeq, a predicted model, not a curated record